GUUUAAAACUAGAUUAAAGACCCAUCUCUUUAACUUGGCAUACAUAUAACACACAAUCAUAUUUCUAUCAUUCAAAUCCGUUAAAAGAUUGUUAGACUGCAUUAAUUAGGUCAACCGGAACCGGGAACACUUCCCAUAACACCCGAUGUACAAUACUCGCU
Sinocyclocheilus grahami is the source of this 161-nucleotide long non-coding RNA. RefSeq lists it as uncharacterized. The transcript is spliced from 3 exons. Lineage: Eukaryota; Metazoa; Chordata; Actinopteri; Cypriniformes; Cyprinidae. The record is from RefSeq and is a predicted model, not a curated record.